CAGUAGCCGCGGUAAUACGUAGGUGGCAAGCGUUGUCCGGAAUUAUUGGGCGUAAAGGGAGCGCAGGCGGUUUAGUAAGUCUGAAGUUAAAGGCAUUGGCUCAACCAAUGUAUGCUUUGGAAACUGUUAGACUUGAGUGCAGAAGGGGAGAGUGGAAUUCCAUGUGUAGCGGUGAAAUGCGUAGAUAUAUGGAGGAACACCGGUGGCGAAAGCGGCUCUCUGGUCUGUCACUGACGCUGAGGCUCGAAAGCGUGGGUAGCGAACAGGAUUAGAUACCCCCGUAGUCCCUGUCUCUUAUACA
This 301-nucleotide ribosomal RNA is filed under the name uncultured bacterium. RNAcentral describes it as "partial 16S ribosomal RNA". It matches the Rfam family "Bacterial small subunit ribosomal RNA", at positions 509 to 808 of the family's 1533-position model. The record is from RNAcentral.